Long non-coding RNA from Entelurus aequoreus (snake pipefish), 196 nucleotides. RefSeq lists it as uncharacterized. NCBI's taxonomy places the organism in Eukaryota, Metazoa, Chordata, Actinopteri, Syngnathiformes, Syngnathidae. The record is from RefSeq and is a predicted model, not a curated record. The transcript is spliced from 2 exons.
AGAAAUAUUCUUGAUGAAAAUGUUAAUAACUUUUUCUUUUUUUUUCUUGAAAACUGGCAUUGCUCCAAAAAUAAUAAUGUAUCAAAAUCAAGGUUGUGAAUGAUUGACAUGUUCAAGGCUCCAAUUCUUCACAUCUGUAAAAUAUUUUUGGCAUAUUCAGCAUUUUUUUUCCAUAGAAUACAAUUUUCUUUGACAA